Molecule: transfer RNA, 74 nt
Filed under: Campylobacter jejuni
Lineage: Bacteria; Pseudomonadati; Campylobacterota; Epsilonproteobacteria; Campylobacterales; Campylobacteraceae
Also listed under: 28 other names
Description: tRNA-Gly
Rfam family: tRNA
About the family: Transfer RNA (tRNA) molecules are approximately 80 nucleotides in length. Their secondary structure includes four short double-helical elements and three loops (D, anti-codon, and T loops).
Source: RNAcentral
GCGGGUGUAGCUCAAUGGUAGAGCCCUUGCCUUCCAAGCAAGUUACGUGAGUUCGAUUCUCAUCACCCGCUCCA